Molecule: ribosomal RNA, 151 nt
Filed under: Apilactobacillus timberlakei
Lineage: Bacteria; Bacillati; Bacillota; Bacilli; Lactobacillales; Lactobacillaceae
Description: Lactobacillus timberlakei partial 23S ribosomal RNA
Rfam family: Bacterial large subunit ribosomal RNA
Source: RNAcentral
GCAUCUAAGUGUGAAACCCACCUCAAGAUGAAAUUUCCCAUUCCUUUAUGGAAGUAAGACCCCUAAGAGAUGAUUAGGUAGAUAGGCUAGAAGUGGAAGUGCAGCAAUGUAUGGAGCGGACUAGUACUAAUUGGUCGAGGACUUAACCAAG